Molecule: unclassified non-coding RNA, 4512 nt
Filed under: Hevea brasiliensis (rubber tree)
Lineage: Eukaryota; Viridiplantae; Streptophyta; Magnoliopsida; Malpighiales; Euphorbiaceae
Source: RNAcentral
AGAUUUUAAUACAUAUAACAGAUUGACAAAGGUAACAUGGCCGGUCGAAUCUGCGAGAUCAGAGUAGAUUUAUAGGUCAAUUAAAAUUUGCAAAUUAGUGGAAUCUUGUCAUUUUGGACAACCAAAUUAAUGAAGUUUUUCAGUGGGAUAAGCAAUAUUUGGAAGGAAGUUACCCUGCAAUUACAUAUGGCAUUUGACCUUAAAUUGAAAACAGCAAACACACCAAAUCCCUUUUGUAUUUGCAUACGCAUCCCCGGCCUAUAUAUAUAAAACCACUUCCGCCACUCAUCAACACCAAAUCCCCAUUACUUGUUCUUUCUUCUCUCUCUCUCUCUAUCUCCCUCUCUCUCUCUAACCUCUCCAUCCAAAGAUCCGAAAUGGAUCUCGAGGUAGUGGGCCGCCACGCACUGCUCUUCGACGACGACGCCAUGGCGGCUUUCGUUAACUCCGCUGCCGCGCUUGUAGAUUGGAACUCCCUCUCUAUAGACCGCUACGACGUGCGUCACCUACUGCCCUCUCCUCCUCCACCGCGAAAUCGCCGCCGCCAGCAACGUUCUCCGUCUCCGAAUCUUGACGAUUCUCUCGAAUCCGAGCUCGACUACGAGCGCUACCUCGAUCUACCCUCAGCAUCCGAUAAGCAAGGUAAUAAAAUUUUCCAUUUUAAUGACAUUAAUUUGCAUUUGGUAUUUAUUUUCUAUGUUGUGUACAAAUGAUGAAUAUGUUGAAAGCACUUGAUUAGAUUUAUUAUUAGAGAAUUUAAAAUUAUUAGACCAUUAUUGCAAAUACUAAGCUAUAGCUUUAGUUUAUAACAAAUUUGUUUAUGGAUAAAGGAUAAUGCUUUAAUUUAGUGUAAGUUGUGCUGGAUAAGCUAGAGAUUACACCUGUCGUCUUGCUGGUGUGUCUUUGGUCUUUUAGGUUUUAAGGGAGCUGUAGUGCCUUUUAACUCGGUUACUCAGUUUUUGUUCUUCUCAUCAUAUUGUGUGCUGGGGAUAUGUAUUAUUCUGAUGGCUAUUCCUUGUGAGUUGGAAAUUUAAAUUACUAGAUAACCAUGAGGGUAUGUUCAAAGGGAAGUGGAGGGAAAUGAGGAGAGCUUUAAUUUCUCCAAUCCAUACUAGUAUGGAUCAUAGAAAGAAUCAAAAAGCAAUGAUAAGCUUAGAAAUGUUGUGGAUUUAUAAGAAGAGGUCCCUCUUUCGAAACAAUCUCCUGCUUUUUUGAUAGAAAAGAAAUAGUGGGAUGACAACCUAUAGUUCUUAUUCUCUUCUUCUCCAUUUUCUCAUCUUAUGUAAAUAUCCGAACAAUGAGUAAGUUAUUACUAGUUUUAUUUUUCUCAAAAUAUCCUGCUUUCUUUGGGAGAAAAGAAGGAUCAGGAUGAUAACAUAUGGUUCUCAUUCUCUUCUCAUUUAAAUAUCCAAAAUAAUGGAAAUUAUUCAUUGCCUGUCCAAUUUGCUUGUUCUUUCUACUUCUCUUUCAAUCCAAAUGGAUUUUAGUGUGCAAUUUAGUUACUUUUAUUGCUUCUACUCGUAUGAAGAUUCAAGGAAAAAUGUUUUAAGUGGAUGCCAUAUAUAGUUUCCUCAUGGAUGGAUUAUUGUGCCGCUAUAUCUGAGAUUUAAUUUGUAGUUGGGUGCUAUACUACCAUGUGCAGUUAUCAUUGAAUCCAGUCAUACAUCUAACCAGUUUAUGCACAUUUUUAAAAUGGAUUUUUCUGAAAGAUAGUAUUCAGCUGAACGCUGGAAUUUUUUUUUUUCCUUGUGGGGUUUGUGUGAAUGUUCUACAUUCUGGAUUGCUUUUCUAAGUUGCAGGAUCAGAUUUUGUUUACUAAAGUUUCAUCUUUCAGGGUGCCAAGUAAGAAUUUCCUUUCCUCAUUCUUGUGUUUCCCUUUUCCCUUUUACCUUCUUCUGUUCUCAGUGUUCAUGUUCUUCUGCCAUUUUUAUAUACUGGCACUAUCAUCACUGGCAGAUUGUCUUAUAUUUGUUUGAUUCUAAUUUAUUAUUAUUUUUUUUAAUUUUUUGUCCUUUUCAGAUUUAGGAAAUGAAGCGGAAAGGAAUGAUGCUGAUGGCUAUCAUAUGGUUGCCUUUUCAUAUGGAGCCUCUAGUGAAUCAACUGACCAGAAGAAUACAGAUACUGAGUCUAGUUUUCAGCCACCCUUCUCAGUGCCUGAACAGUUAAUGCAAAACCUGGUAGGUAGAUGCCCUUCUCGCUGUUUACUUUCUGCGUUUUGUAUUUGUCCUGAUGUUGUUUGUUUGGUGCUUAUCUAGUGAGCCAACUUGAUAGAUGUCUAAGGUGCAUGUGUUUUUCUAAGGCUUACCAUGUCUAAGUUUCAGAUGCUCGGAGCAGGGAUGGGAGUUCUUCAAGGUUGCCAUUCACAGGCACCUUGUCUUCUUUUGAUGUCUUGACAAGGGGCCGCACAGGUGGGAUUAGGAUGAUAGAAAUUCAAUACUUUAUCAGGCAUCCUCUGGAGAUUGGAGGAUAGAUAUCUUUGUAGAGUUCAGUUUCUUUAUCUUAAUGGUUAUCUAAAUAUAUGUGUAUGAAAAUCGGUGAUUUUUCUUGGGACAAUUUAGUAAGAUGUCUUUUUCCUGGCAUUCUGCUUUUCUUAAAUUUCCCAUUGUUCAGAGAUUUUCCCCCCUUUUUUUUCAGCCUCCAACAGAGAAGGUGCACCAAAUUAUUGCAAGGACUGCCAUGUUUGUUAGCAAACAUGGUGGGCAGUCGGAAAUUAUUUUGAGAGUUAAGCAGGGGGACAACCCGACAUUUGGAUUCUUGAUGCCUGAUCAUAAUCUUCAUCCUUACUUCAGAUUUCUUGUUGAUCACCAAGAACUUCUGAAGUCUGACAUUGAUGGCAAAUCUAUAGAAGAUGAGAACAAAAUUGAGAGUGGUGAUCAGAUGGGUGGUGCAUUGUCAUUGCUUGGUUCUGUAUAUGGGUCUGGAGAAGAUGAAGAAGGGGCACAUGAAGAUGCCCCAGCAUUUACCAAAAAUGAUUUUGAAGAAUCUGUUAAUGCUGCUGAUAAUGCAACCAUUUCUCAUGGAUCAGAACAAAACAAUCCUUCUUUAAAUGCAGCUGGGAAAGAUGAUUCGGUUUCCAAGCCUCCAUUUUCUUCUUUGAAAGAAAGGUCUCAUGUCGUAAAGAGAAAUCGUUCCAUCAGUACAGUCAAGGUGGGAACCACUACUGGGGUAAAGAGAGAUGGUGAUUCCACAACUUCAGUUUCCUCUGCUGUGGAUAAGUUGCAGCCUUUCAUCUCCCAUAGCCUGUCCAAGGUUGAGCCUUCUAUUUUGGAGCCUCCAGCUGAUUUGAAGAGAGUCGUUGAUAAGAUAGUUGAGUUCAUACUGCGAAACGGAAAAGAAUUUGAGUCUGUUCUGGUUCAGCAGGACACUAAACAUGGGAGAUUCCCAUUCCUUCUGCCAACCAACCAAUAUCAUCCUUAUUAUCUAAAAGCUCUCCAAAAGGCUCAAGAGUCGAAGUUAGCUGGCAAGAGCUUCAUUUCAGAGAAACUUGAUUCACUAGGGCAUGGGAUGGACAGGAAAACUGGAACCAAAGAAAGUGAUGCCCUGUCCUUGGCAUCUGAUAUACCAUAUGAGUCUGACAGGAAAGAAAAGUUUAAAAUGGUAAUUGGAAAGUCAAAGAAGGAUGGACAGGACCUACCUUCAAAAAUCACCCAGCCACAAGUUGGAGUUAGUGUGGAUGCUGCUGCUGCUAUUCUUCAGGCUGCCACAAAAGGCAUUAAGAAUCCCAACCUGGAAAUGCUAUCUAAGACCAUAAGUGGUAUUGGUCAUGGUCCUAGCAGUGAAGCUGGAGACAGCCUCCUUUCAUCUUGUCCUCAAAGUUCCAACCAGAAGUCAGACAAGAUUUGGGAGCAUGGUGUUUCUAUCCCUGUAGCUAAAGCCAUUGCAAAGACAAUGGCUGUUGCAGCAGCAAGUGAGGCUGAUUCCUCAGAAGCGAGGUUGACCAGAGAGCAGAAGUUGAAGGCUGAGAGACUGAAACGAGCAAAGAUGUUUGCAGCCAUGAUAAAAGGUGGUGCUGCACCAUUAAAAAGUGAACCAUUGCGAGGGUUAUCAGUAGAGCCAUCUGAAUCUGGGUUAUCAGGUUCUGAUUCUCAUGCUUUACAUCCUACAGCCCAAGAAAGGGAAAGUACAAUUCCAUUGGAAAUUGAUACUCAUAAUAGAAUUGAGAAAUCUGCUGAUGAAUAUAAUGAACGGCGAUCAAAGAGGAGCUAUCGUUCUAGGUCUAAAAGGGCUGAAGAUGAAGAUGAAGAAGAGGAGGAAUUGAAGGAUAACAGGGAUCACAAGCAUUCAAGGAAAAAGAGGCGUUCUCAUCGCUCUUCCCAUCGCAGCAGGGACAGACAUAAGCGCAGGAAAAGACAUUCCUCUUCUCAGGAUGGAGAAUCUCAACAUCAACACAAGAGCAGUAGCUCCUUGGAUGAACAUCAGCACAAGCAAGACAGCUCUUCUGAAGGUGGGUAUAGGCGAUCUAGACAUAAGCACAAGCAUGAUAGCUCAUCAGAUGAUGAGCAUAGACACUCU